CUUCACCGAACCCAGCCACAGCGGACGGCCCUCCGGCCUGUCCCGCCCGUAGGUGUCGAGCAGCGCCUCGGCCUC
Non-coding RNA from Streptomyces sp., 75 nucleotides. Lineage: Bacteria; Bacillati; Actinomycetota; Actinomycetes; Kitasatosporales; Streptomycetaceae. The record is from Rfam.